This is a long non-coding RNA of Folsomia candida, 646 nucleotides long. RefSeq lists it as uncharacterized. Lineage: Eukaryota; Metazoa; Arthropoda; Collembola; Entomobryomorpha; Isotomidae. The record is from RefSeq and is a predicted model, not a curated record. The transcript has 3 exons.
GUAGAGAGAGGUUUGUGGUUAGUCUAUAAAUAAGUCACCAUUGCACGCACAGAAAAUAAAGUUAGAGGCAAUUCAGUACAGUUUCUCCGUAGUUUUGAAAUUCUAAGAAGAGAAGCAUAAGGUUCGAAAAUUCGGAACUAAAAUGGGCUCCACGCAAGAAAGCGUUUUAAAAUGUCCCAGUUACUCAAAAAGGUUCACAACAAAGCAAAAUUUAACCAAUCACUUUUAUACGCACGACCACGAGGCGAAGGUGAAAUGUCAGAUUUGCGGGAAAAUUUCGAAAAAUCCAAAAACCCUAUCAGCCCACAUGUUGCUGAUGCACACGGACCGGAACCGACCCAGCUGCGACACCUGUCACCGUGUUUUUUCCUCAUCUGAAAAUUUACGGAGCCACAUUACUGCCGUUCACAGCACGAUUGAACGACCUCGCUUUCCAUGUGGAUAUCCUGGCUGUGACAAAUCUUACUUAACGAAAAAUGAUGCUUCGAAACAUGUGAGAACAGAACAUUCCGAAAAUCCGACCCGAUUUCCGUGCACACUUUGCGGUAAAGAAUUUAAAACGAGGCGAGACCUUGAGUCACACAUUUCCACCCACACGACGGAGAAGACGUCCACUUGUUCGUGGGAGGAGAUUCGCCCAUUUGUC